Eriocheir sinensis (Chinese mitten crab) is the source of this 497-nucleotide long non-coding RNA. RefSeq lists it as uncharacterized. The record is from RefSeq and is a predicted model, not a curated record. Lineage: Eukaryota; Metazoa; Arthropoda; Malacostraca; Decapoda; Varunidae. The transcript has 3 exons.
AAGGACUGGCUAUUUGCUAUCUGGACGUAAAGAGAGGAGGAGGGAAGAUAUCUCCUGCAUGGUCAGGCAGUGCCAACUCCAGCUGUACGGGCAUGUGGCACGCUGCCCACCCUGCUCACCGGGCUGUUUCAGAGUGGAGGAGGCUGAGGGAAUGCCCACGAAGCUCACAGAUUCCGCGUCUCCAUGGACCCUGCCGCAAGAGACAACCCGAUGAGCAGGAUCAGCUUCAGGGUAACGUGCCACGUGCCCAUAUAGCCGGAGUUGGCAUUGACGGACUAUAGCUAUGCAGGUAAGGUAAUAUAUGUCAAAUCAGUCUCGCGGAGUAGUUGCCGGUUUGACACAAAGUCAUUCCAGCGAUAUCCCGUGAUUCUGCGUAGACACUUAUUACCAAAGGCAUCAAGCUGCCUCUCCAAGUCCCCAUUUAUUGUCCAUGUCUCACAACCAUAGAGUAAGACAGGGAGCACAAGGGACUUGAAGGUCCGGAUCUUUGUCCUUCU